Coregonus clupeaformis (lake whitefish) is the source of this 703-nucleotide long non-coding RNA. RefSeq lists it as uncharacterized. The transcript is spliced from 2 exons. Lineage: Eukaryota; Metazoa; Chordata; Actinopteri; Salmoniformes; Salmonidae. The record is from RefSeq and is a predicted model, not a curated record.
CAAGAUAUUUGUGGAGUGAUUGAAAAACUAGUUUUAAUGACUCCAACCUAAGUGUAUGUAAACUUCCGACUACAACUGUAUGUGUGUCCUUCCUUGUGUUGCAGGACUGGUGACCCUCUGUCAGGUCACCAUGGAGUUCCCACUCUGUCUGCUUGCUGUGUAUUUUCUUGUAUCUCACAUCCGCAACAUGAAAAAAUGUAUGCACUCACUAACUUGACGAGGAGAAAGAGAGGAGGCUCCCAAGGACAGAUCACUGGGUCCCUGACCAUGUCCUGGGGGGUGUGUUGGGAGUCUGUCCACUAGCAGGUACUGACCCUCAGCAUGACCCUUCAGGACCUGGGCCCGGUUUCCCAAAAGCAUCUUAAGGCUAAGGUUCUUCUUAGAAACUUAGCCUUAAGAUGCUUUUGGGAAACCGGGCCCUGGUCAGUCGGGCCUGGUGAGCAGAGCCAGGAGCUGCAGAUCAGCCAAUCCGUAGCGACCUUGACACCAGAAGACACCUAAGAUGACUAGAUGAAGCUCAUCCAAAGCACAAAGCUCAUAUUAUUUACCUAAAUACUUCAACAAUUAAUACUUACUUGAAUACUUAAACAAGCAAUGUAACUAUAUAGAAUGCAGCCAGAUGAAGAACCAUUAUUUUCUUUAUUUUGGUAGGCUUCUGGUUGUCUGUGUUUCGGCAGCUCAUUAAAACACAAUCCCAAAUACA